Long non-coding RNA from Gasterosteus aculeatus aculeatus (three-spined stickleback), 1570 nucleotides. The record is from Ensembl. Lineage: Eukaryota; Metazoa; Chordata; Actinopteri; Perciformes; Gasterosteidae.
CAGCAGCUGAGGGAUCCGAGCCAUCUAAGUCAUCAAAUUUAGUGCCCCAUUGCUUCAAAGAUAGACGCGGAUCUAAAUGAGUGAGUAUUUAUUUUAAACAUCGAGCAACACUUUGGGAUCUAACUUGCUGCUCACCGAUAAUUCUGCCAAUGUUCCACGAGCAGGAGUCACCCGGCUGGAGCUCGGCUGCAAGAACCUGAACGUAUCUCCAAUAAGUGAGUCUUGUUACAAUAAAACAUGGGCGCAGAGGAGAGCCUGCCGGUUUUCUCUAGAGCCAGACUGCUCCUGCAGCCGCUGGACGAGCUGAAACGACUCACCCAUCAACAAGCGGCGCUGCUCCAGAACAAGAUUAGGGCAGAGAAAGAAGAAUGGAAUGAUCUUGGCAUCAUUGCAGUCUCUGGUAGUCCUGAAGAAGUAUUUCAUCUCGACAGAGCUCCACAAAAAUGCAUAGUACAGAAAAGAAAUACAAAUCAGAAAAUGUAACAGGAUUGUAACGUCAGAACUUGUUCUCUACUACACUCACAAACUCUCACUCACUCAAUAUGUUUAAUUGAAAUACUCAAGAGUGACACCAAAACACUACUGCAUCAUGUUGUACAUGCAUUCAUGACAAUUCCAUUCGUGAACACAUGACAUUUGAAAAAUAACAGUGCCAUUCAUAAUGCAGUCAUUAUUGUUGUCUUUUACACAGCGGUGUCUGUGAUUACCCACAAUGCCAUUGGAAAACAGGCAGCAAGAAAACACAAAGAAAAAUAUGUGUUAAGUGUGUAAAAAAGGGUUUGGAUAUUUUUAGGGCUCCGAGGUAUAUUUUUAUUCUAUUUAUUCUAUUAAAUGGCAACUUACAUUUGAAACAACAGCGGGUGACCUUAUACAGUAUAUCUGGCCUGCGGCUGCUGGAGCUGGAGACUGCUGCCGCAUUGUUUUAAACACAAUAUGUGUAUUGUUCGAUAAAGCAUCUAUAUAGUUAUAUGAUAGAAAGGUUCAAUGAGGCAUAGGAAUAGAACAUACAUUUAGUGUGUAGUUUAUUUCACUGCUCCACUGAGCUCCGGCUGCUAAUCUAAUCAUGUGUUUACAUGAUUCUUGCACGUUUUGGGGCUGAACCACGUGGUUGAUGUAUACUUGGUCACUUUGGAUCAAUACUCAGCUCAAUAAACGUAAAAUAAGAUUUAAGAAUUUAUUUAUUUUUUCUAGCAAAAUAUCUUUGUUUUACUUGAGUACAAGUUAAAAUGUAGUUGCCAAAGAGGACACUAUGUUGAAUAUUUAUAAUAUUAGGCUCAGGAAAACAACAAUGGUUUUGUUAUGGCACCAUCAUAAAUGUCUGCAAUAAAGAGAGAGGCCGUGACAUCCUUAAAUCCAUCUCUCACUCAGCGAUGGAUCCCACGUCUGUCCAUCAGUCCAUUUGACUCAAUCAAUCCUGACAGUCGGCCUCUUCGUUCCUUUCCUCUCAUCUCUCUCGUUGUUUAUUUAUUUCUCCUAAGCCGUCCGUAUCCAUCGCAUUCGUUACGCCGCUGUUAUGCGGUGCUGCCUCACUCCAAUAAAAAUAACAUAAAUAAAUCAUGAACAAGCCCAA